RNAcentral lists this non-coding RNA (28 nucleotides) under Mus musculus (house mouse). The record is from RNAcentral. Lineage: Eukaryota; Metazoa; Chordata; Mammalia; Rodentia; Muridae.
UUGGCUUAUGAGAAUACUAAUGCAGGGU